GCGUAAGCGCACGCAGGCGGUCUGUCAAGUCGGAUGUGAAAUCCCCGGGCUCACACCUGGGAACUGCAUUCGAAACUGGCAGGCUAGAGUCUUGUAGAGGGGGGUAGAAUUCCAGGUGUAGCGGUGAAAUGCGUAGAGAUCUGGAGGAAUACCGGUGGCGAAGGCGGCCCCCUGGACAAAGACUGACGCUCAGGUGCGAAAGCGUGGGGAGCAAACAGGAUUAGAUACCCUGGUAGUCCACGCCGUAAACGAUGUCGACUUGGAGGUUGUGCCCUUGAGGCGUGGCUUCCGGAGCUAACGCGUUAAGUCGACCGCCUGGGGAGUACGGCCGCAAGGUUAAAACUCAAAUGAAUUGACGGGGGCCCGCACAAGCGGUGGAGCAUGUGGUUUAAUUCGAUGCAACGCGAAGAACCUUACCUACUCUUGACAUCCAGAGAACUUUCCAGAGAUGGAUUGGUGCCUUCGGGAACUCUGAGACAGGUGCUGCAUGGCUGUCGUCAGCUCGUGUUGUGAAAUGUUGGGUUAAGUCCCGCAACGAGCGCAACCCUUAUCCUUUGUUGCCAGCGGUUAGGCCGGGAACUCAAAGGAGACUGCCAGUGAUAAACUGGAG
RNAcentral lists this ribosomal RNA (610 nucleotides) under Enterobacter hormaechei. RNAcentral describes it as "bacterial SSU rRNA". It matches the Rfam family "Bacterial small subunit ribosomal RNA", at positions 558 to 1168 of the family's 1533-position model. Lineage: Bacteria; Pseudomonadati; Pseudomonadota; Gammaproteobacteria; Enterobacterales; Enterobacteriaceae. The record is from RNAcentral.